RNAcentral lists this ribosomal RNA (253 nucleotides) under uncultured bacterium. RNAcentral describes it as "partial 16S ribosomal RNA". It matches the Rfam family "Bacterial small subunit ribosomal RNA", at positions 524 to 776 of the family's 1533-position model. The record is from RNAcentral.
GACAGAGGGUGCAAACGUUGCUCGGAAUCACUGGGCGUAAAGGGUGCGUAGGCGGGUCUUUAAGUCAGGGGUGAAAUCCUGGAGCUCAACUCCAGAACUGCCUUUGAUACUGAGGAUCUUGAGUUCGGGAGAGGUGAGUGGAACUGCGAGUGUAGAGGUGAAAUUCGUAGAUAUUCGCAAGAACACCAGUGGCGAAGGCGGCUCAUUGGCCCGAUACUGACGCUGAGGCACGAAAGCGUGGGGAGCAAACAGG